GGUGCGGCUCAGGGAUACGAUGAUUCGGAGCACUGAAAUAAAAAUCAUUGGAACAAUAAUUACGUAAACCCUAAUUUUUGAUAAACCUAUGCCUACGUCCUAAAGAAUGGUUCUAGGAGAGGGAUUGAUUUCAGUCGUCAGUUGUGGUUCACAUCCAAUCAAUUAAAAAUUGUCGCGAAGCUCGAUGAACCAACGAUGGUGAUCUGUCUUAUUGUUGCUACUAUCUCUAUCAUCGGGAUCAUAUAAGAUCAGCAUCCUGGUAAGCCAGCUUUAGACUUUGAAGCAGUUGUUGGAGAUUUUGGAUUAGCAAAGCUCUUGGACCAACGUGACUUUCAUGUAAGCACAGCUAUUCGUGGAACUGUUGGGCACCCAACCCCUGAGUACUUAUCAACUGGAUAGUCAUCAGAUAAGACAGAUGUGCUCGGUUUUGGUAUCUUACUGUUAGAGCUGAUCACAGGUCAAAAGGCGCUAGAUUUUGGCCGAGCAGUGGACCAGAAAGGUUUAAUGCUUGAUUGGGUACCCUCUCCCUCUCUCUCUGCAAGUGUGCAAACGGGGCAAGCAUUCUUCGUUGACAUAAUUAAUCUUGAGUCUUUGACUCAAUUAUCUCAAGCACUGCUCUAUUUUAUCUAUAACAUCUUUAUUAAUUGUUGUAUCUAUUUUUUGAUAUUUCUCAUAAUCCGUUCUUUAUAUCGCUAUUGUGUUUUAUUUGUUUUCUAUUUUUAGUGAGGACAUCCAUUGUGCUCCAAAGGAACAUCAAGUGGCAUACUUCGGAGGUGUACGACAUUGUGUUCCAAAUUCAUAUCAGCUAAAGGUAGUACUUGGUACACUGUUUUUGAUUGUAUAUUCGUUCCACAUUGUCUAUUCUAACCCAAUCCUUGACCAUACCAUAAGAGGAAGUUCAAAGAGGUAUUCAGCGGCUUAUCAAGUUGUUCCGGAUAAUCUGGCUGAAAUUCUGUAACUUAGUAUUUCCUGUUUAUUAUUAUCUAAGGUGCAUUUUGGUUCGGGGUACCGGUAUCAAGAACUUAUACAUCAAGUGUAUUCCAGCAGGCGCCUACAUAAGUAAGAAGCCCCAAGGGCUGCUGGGAGCGCAAAUGUUCAGGUAGGUGUUGCUAGAGAUGGAGUUCCUAAAAUGAAGCGCUAAAGGUUUUCGAAAAUGGUGGGUUUUGCAAUACAUGGUUUUCUUCAGUUUAAGAUACUGGCUUUUGGUUGUUAAGUUUAGUUUUUUUCUUUGUACAUGAGGGAACAAUUUUACUGCUGCCUAAUUACUUCCCAUAUUCAACUUUAAA
Long non-coding RNA from Papaver somniferum (opium poppy), 1286 nucleotides. RefSeq lists it as uncharacterized. The record is from RefSeq and is a predicted model, not a curated record. The transcript is spliced from 4 exons. NCBI's taxonomy places the organism in Eukaryota, Viridiplantae, Streptophyta, Magnoliopsida, Ranunculales, Papaveraceae.